This 160-nucleotide unclassified non-coding RNA is filed under the name uncultured Verticillium. RNAcentral describes it as "sequence contains ITS2". Lineage: Eukaryota; Fungi; Ascomycota; Sordariomycetes; Hypocreales. The record is from RNAcentral.
CAACCCUCAAGCAACCUCCUGCUUGGUGUUGGGGACCGGCCGUCAAACGCCGCCCCCUAAAUCUAUUGGCGAUCUCGCUGUAGCUUCCUAUGCGUAGUAGUAACAUUCUCGCAUCUGGAGAGCGGCGCGGUCAUGCCGUUAAACACCCAACUUCUUCAGG